RNAcentral lists this ribosomal RNA (1673 nucleotides) under Xestospongia bocatorensis. RNAcentral describes it as "SSU rRNA". It matches the Rfam family "Eukaryotic small subunit ribosomal RNA", at positions 224 to 1794 of the family's 1831-position model. Lineage: Eukaryota; Metazoa; Porifera; Demospongiae; Haplosclerida; Petrosiidae. The record is from RNAcentral.
GCUCGUACCGGCUCGGUGAAAUUGGUGAUUCAUGGUAACUGGUCGAAUCGCUAGGCCUUUGCGCCGGCGAUGGUUCAUUCAAGUUUCUGCCCUAUCAACUUUCGAUGGUAGGGUAUUGGCCUACCAUGGUCGCAACGGGUGACGGAGAAUUAGGGUUCGAUUCCGGAGAGGGAGCCUGAGAAACGGCUACCACAUCCAAGGAAGGCAGCAGGCGCGCAAAUUACCCAAUCCCGACUCGGGGAGGUAGUGACAAUAAAUAACAAUGCCGGUCCCUCAAGUGGUCCGGCAAUUGGAAUGAGACCAAUCCAAACCCCUUAACGAGGAACAAUUAGAGGGCAAGUCUGGUGCCAGCAGCCGCGGUAAUUCCAGCUCUAAUAGCGUAUAUUAAAGUUGUUGCAGUUAAAAAGCUCGUAGUUGGAUUUGGGGGCCCGCUUCGGUCGGAAGUUCGSYGGUSCAGCUCUUAACGGGGUUGGUUCGGCGUUCGUUCGUUCGGAGCGCUCGGCCGGKGCGGUCCGCCGAGAGGCGAGCACUGCCCGGCGGCUCCAAGUUUCUCGGAGUUUCCGUCUGCUCUUUGUUGCAGCGGUCGGAGGAUCCGGGACGUUUACUUUGAACAAAUUAGAGUGUUCCAAGCAGGCCGGUCGCUUUGAAUACGUUAGCAUGGAAUAAUGGAAUAGGGCUGGUUUGUCCUGUUUUGUUGGUUUUCGGGACGGCAGUCAUGGUCGAUAGGGACAGUUGGGGGCGUUCGUAUUCAGUUGUCAGAGGUGAAAUUCUCGGAUUUACGGAAGACGGUCAAAUGCGAAAGCAUUCGCCAAGCAUGUUUUCAUUAAUCAAGAACGAAAGUUGGGGGUUCGAAGACGAUCAGAUACCGUCGUAGUCCCAACCAUAAACGAUGCCGGCUAGGGAUCGGCGGACGUCGGGUGCGACUCCGUCGGCACCUUGCGAGAAAUCGAAGCCUUUGGGUUCCGGGGGGAGUAUGGUCGCAAGGCUGAAACUUAAAGGAAUUGACGGAAGGGCACCACCAGGAGUGGAGCCUGCGGCUUAAUUUGACUCAACACGGGGAACCUCACCAGGUCCGGACAUGGGAAGGAUUGACAGAUCGAGAGCUCUUUCUUGAUUCUAUGGGUGGUGGUGCAUGGCCGUUCUUAGUUGGUGGAGUGAUUUGUCUGGUUGAUUCCGUUAACGAACGAGACCUUAACCUGCUAACUAGUCGUGCCGUUUCCGAACGGCGGGCGCGCGUUCAAUCAUGGGCCUUGCAAGGGGUGCCGUGGUYGGGSCGCGUUCCGGUCGCGAGGCCAGGCGACUUCUUAGAGGGACACUCGGCGUUGCAGCCGAGGGAGGAUUGAGGCAAUAACAGGUCUGUGAUGCCCUUAGAUGUUCUGGGCCGCACGCGCGCUACACUGACGGAUUCAGCGAGCGUGUCCUUCGCCGGAAGGUGCGGGCAAUCUUGCGAGUCUCCGUCGUGCUGGGGAUAGAUGGUUGCAAUUGUCGAUCUUCAACGAGGAAUUCCUAGUAAGCGCGAGUCAUCAGCUCGCGCUGAUUACGUCCCUGCCCUUUGUACACACCGCCCGUCGCUACUACCGAUUGAGCGGCUUUGUGAGAAAUUCGGAUUGGAUCUGGAGGCGUUCGGCGACGUGCGCUCCAGCCUCCGAGAAGUUUUUCUAGCGGCGCCGCUU